Long non-coding RNA from Piliocolobus tephrosceles (Ugandan red Colobus), 1838 nucleotides. RefSeq lists it as uncharacterized. The record is from RefSeq and is a predicted model, not a curated record. The transcript has 2 exons. NCBI's taxonomy places the organism in Eukaryota, Metazoa, Chordata, Mammalia, Primates, Cercopithecidae.
AAAAUAGUAAACAAAAAUAUAUAACAUUAUGUGUGUUCAUUAAAUCUUCAUUUUUAUUAACUUUUUAUUUUUUCUGUUUUUACAUAUUAUUAUUUUUUUGUGGUAAAAAAUCUUACAAUGGAAAUUGUAAUUAAAAUUCAAUAAUCAACAAUCAUAUAAUAUUUUUAAAAUUUGAAGAGUUUAAAAAAAAAUUAAAACAAUGUACCAAAAAAAAUUAUUUAUAUAGUAUUAUUUAUUUAAAUUUUACUUAGUAUAGUUUUUAUUGAAUUGUUUUAUGAAAUUUAAAUAUUGUCAAAAUAUGGAAAUUUUUUAUUAAUAAUUACGUGUUUAAUUGUUAUUGAUAAUAAAUAAUAAAGCAAGUAAAUCAAUUAGUCAAAUAAGUUGUUACAUACUGGAUUAUUACACUUAUUAAAAAGUUUGUAAACUAUAAUAUUUGACUAUUAAAAAAUUAUUAAUAUGAAUAGUAAUUUUUAUAUUAAAACUAGUAUUGAACUGUAAAUGAAUGAUGGAUAAACUGUGAAUGAACUAUGGAUAAGUAGUAGAUGCACCUCAAGUACAUUUUAGAUAAACGCAAGCAAAAUUAAAAAUUAGCUUUACUUAUAACUUAAAUUAAUCAUGGUUAUAUUUUAAAUUAACUAUGGUUAAAUUUUAUAUUAAUUCUAGCUAUAUUUUAAAUAAACCCUAGAUACAUUUUUGAUUAUAACAUUGCAACAUUAUCAAUCAAAACUUACUAAGACUUUCGAGAAACCUUAGCAAUAUUUUAAUUAAAACCUAACAAUUUUUGAUAUAAAAACUCUGUAACAUUUCUCAUCGAAACCUAGCAACAUUGCUGAUUUAAUUUCAGCUAUAUUUUUGAUGAAACUUAGCAAUAUUUCUGAUUGAAAUUUAGCUAUAUUUUUGAUAAAACAUAGCAAUAUAUUAGAUGAACCCUAGAAACAUUUUGGAUGAAAUUUAGCAAUAUAUUUGAUGAAACUUGUCAAUAUCAUUAAUAAAACCUUGCAAUAUUGUUAAUGAGUCUUCGUAACACGUUGGAUAAAAUCCUAGAUACUCUUUUAACGAAACCUAGCCACAUUUUUAAUGUUACUUAUAAACAUUUUUAUAGUAACCUAAAAACAUUUUUAAUGAAACCUAGCAAAAAAUAUAUUUUUUGUAUAAAUUACAUUUUAAGUAAUAUUAUUUAAUUUGGAUUUGGUAAAAAAAUAAUGCAAAAAAAAGUCAGAAUUGUGAAAAAAAGUUUUGGAAAAAAAAAAAAAAAAAAGUUUAUGUGUAAUAAUUUAAUGUUUGAAAAUGAGUCCGUCAUUAACAAAAAAAAUAUCUACUCGUGCAGGCAGUGUCAAUAAAUUGAGCUGCCAACAGAGUUAUGGUUUGUAUGGUUUUACCCAUUAAAUUUAAUGCCAUUUUGGCACUUUCUAUUGCAGAGUUUUUUUUUUAUAUUAUUUAUAGUACGCAUUAUUCUUUUUAAUAUUUAUUUUUUACAUAUUCUAUUUUUUUUUUUUUUUUGUUAAAAAAAACUUACAAUAGAACCUGUAAUUAGAAUGCAAAAAGAUAAAAUCAUAUACUAUUUUUAAAAUUUAAAGCAAUUAAAAAAAAAAAAAAAAAAACAAUACAAUAAGUUUUAAUUGAUAAUUAUAAAUAAAAAAAAAAAAGUCUACAUAUUAUUUUUAUUUUAAAUUUUUCUAAGUGUAAUUUUUGUUACGUUAUUUGCUAAAAUUUAAGUAUUGUCAAAAUAAUCCAAUUCGUUAUGAAUUAAUACUUGUUUAAUUGUUAAUAAUAAUUAGUAAUAAAACGAGUAUUUCAAUAGGUCAAUAAAGUUAUUACAUUCUAAAUCAUUAAUCUUA